GUUUACUGCUUAUUUUGGGCUUUCUGAAGGCCUCUGGAUUUUUGGAGCGUGGUGUCUGUGAAGAUGGUCAAGUUUUUGAUGUCACUGGGGAGGAAGUCCUCUGCUCAACUAUUGGCCUUAUUUGAUUACUCUCAAUGUUGCUGAGUGUCAGACUGCUCGAGUUGCUUCAUUUUUCAUUUCCUGGGGACUGUGGAAAAAAGAAGAUGCAGUCCUAAGUGGAACAUAUAAGCAAGAGGCAUAAAAAGCAGUAAUGGAAGGUUACUGAGCAGCUAUCAGGAGAAAAAUCUCAACUGCAGAUGGCUGAACUACUGAUCUCUCUGGAAGUGCAUUGCAAGAUAAACAGUCAGUCAAACGAUGAAGAAAUAAUUAUUUCACUGGUACAUUUGCUGCCCAUUAAAGCUUUGGCAGGAAGAAGAACGUGCUGCAGCCAAAGUUCCCAAAGAGCCUGAACUGAGGCUAUCAUUGCUGUGGAAAAGUUUCCAGAAAUGAAAUGUUAAGCAAAUGCCUCAUUCCCUGUCUGAAAAUGGCAGCUAGGGAGGUUUCCACACAAUGGUUUCCUUGUCAGAAAAAAUAUUCCAUACGCUGCUGUAGCUAGCUCAGUUUUCUGUUUAUGAAUGUAGCAUCAAAGAUGUAGAGCCACAGAAGCAGGAUAAAUAGAGGGAUUCAUAGAAGCGAGCCUUAACCUGAACUGUACUUAAAAUCCAUGGAAUACUGCAAUCAAUUUUAACACAAGCACAGCCAGUUCCAGAGUAAAUACAGGACUGGUUGCAGUAGUACAAGUUGUCUUAUAUAUCCCUCCUAGCCUAGGCGUGAUGCUCAGAGGGCUUUUUGACAACAGAAAAUAAAAGGACUGAAACUGUAGAAAUGAUUUUUCCAAAUUCCUCUUGAAGGAAUGACCCCGUGUAGAUGUCCUUGUGUCCUCAUCUGUUGGGAGUUAGCUACUCCUUAUAAUGCAUUUCAGUCAAAAUGACUUGUUAACAAAACUCAUGUUAAAGCUAACCUGUCCCCUUUUGGGUGGGGAGGCGAGGCACGGGAGCUCAGUUUUGACUGCCAUUCUAGUUGAUAGACUGAAGAAAUGGAGCUAUCAAAGAAAAACUCAGGUGAUUUCUCAGGUCUUCUGAUCAGCCUGCUUUCCUUCCUUGGCCAGUUCUACAGCCUAAGAGAGAUGGAAAUGCUUUGACUGCAGUUCCCAUCCACAAAACCAGGGCACAGGCUUUAAGAAGAUUGAACACGUCCAUCAAGAUGAGUUCUAAAUCAAAUGGAUGUGCAUCUGAGGGAAUCCAGGCUCAAAAAGGAGGUUCCAAGACCCUGUGCAUAAAAAUCUGAGAUGCAAAAAAGUUUCUGCCCUGCUGAAGUUGUAUAACACUGUGAUUCAGUGGAAAAUGUUAUCUUGAUGAGUAUCUUGGAAAAAAAAAAAUAAUAAUUGCUAAAUGCUAGGCCUUCU
Lagopus leucura (white-tailed ptarmigan) is the source of this 1444-nucleotide long non-coding RNA. RefSeq lists it as uncharacterized. The record is from RefSeq and is a predicted model, not a curated record. The transcript is spliced from 6 exons. Lineage: Eukaryota; Metazoa; Chordata; Aves; Galliformes; Phasianidae.